This 435-nucleotide ribosomal RNA is filed under the name uncultured bacterium. RNAcentral's name for it is "bacterial SSU rRNA". It matches the Rfam family "Bacterial small subunit ribosomal RNA", at positions 43 to 524 of the family's 1533-position model. The record is from RNAcentral.
CAGGCCUAACACAUGCAAGUCGAACGAGACCUUCGGGUCUAGUGGCGCACGGGUGCGUAACGCGUGGGAAUCUGCCCUUGGGUUCGGAAUAACGUCGGGAAACUGACGCUAAUACCGGAUGAUGACGUAAGUCCAAAGAUUUAUCGCCCAAGGAUGAGCCCGCGUAGGAUUAGCUAGUUGGUGAGGUAAAGGCUCACCAAGGCGACGAUCCUUAGCUGGUCUGAGAGGAUGAUCAGCCACACUGGGACUGAGACACGGCCCAGACUCCUACGGGAGGCAGCAGUGGGGAAUAUUGGACAAUGGGCGAAAGCCUGAUCCAGCAAUGCCGCGUGAGUGAUGAAGGCCUUAGGGUUGUAAAGCUCUUUUACCCGGGAUGAUAAUGACAGUACCGGGAGAAUAAGCUCCGGCUAACUCCGUGCCAGCAGCCGCGGUAAU